RNAcentral lists this ribosomal RNA (482 nucleotides) under uncultured bacterium. RNAcentral's name for it is "partial 16S ribosomal RNA". It matches the Rfam family "Bacterial small subunit ribosomal RNA", at positions 28 to 507 of the family's 1533-position model. The record is from RNAcentral.
GAUGAACGCUAGCGGCAGGCCUAAUACAUGCAGGUCGGACGGGAUUCAGGAGCUUGCUUCUGAUGAGAGUGGCGCACGGGUGCGUAACACGUAUGUAACCUACCUUUAUCAGGGGGAUAGCCUCUCGAAAGAGAGAUUAAGCCCGCAUAAAAUCACAGCACAGCAUUGUGUAAUGAUCAAAUAUUUAUAGGAUAAAGAUGGGCAUGCGGAACAUGAGCUAGAUGGCGGGGUAACGGCCCACCAUGGCGACGAUGUUUAGGGGAUCUGAGAGGAUGGCCCCCCACACUGGUACUGAGACACGGACCAGACUCCUACGGGAGGCAGCAGUAAGGAAUAUUGGUCAAUGGGCGGAAGCCUGAACCAGCCAUGCCGCGUGCAGGAAGACGGCCCUACGGGUUGUAAACUGCUUUUAUACGGGAAUAAACCCAGAUACGUGUAUCUGGCUGAAUGUACUGUAAGAAUAAGGAUCGGCUAACUCCGUG